UAUGGCUCAGGACGAACGCUGGCGGCGUGCUUAACACAUGCAAGUCGAACGAUGAACCACUUCGGUGGGGAUUAGUGGCGAACGGGUGAGUAACACGUGGGCAAUCUGCCCUUCACUCUGGGACAAGCCCUGGAAACGGGGUCUAAUACCGGAUACCACUCUCGCGGGCAUCUGCGAGGGUUGAAAGCUCCGGCGGUGAAGGAUGAGCCCGCGGCCUAUCAGCUUGUUGGUGAGGUAAUGGCUCACCAAGGCGACGACGGGUAGCCGGCCUGAGAGGGCGACCGGCCACACUGGGACUGAGACACGGCCCAGACUCCUACGGGAGGCAGCAGUGGGGAAUAUUGCACAAUGGGCGAAAGCCUGAUGCAGCGACGCCGCGUGAGGGAUGACGGCCUUCGGGUUGUAAACCUCUUUCAGCAGGGAAGAAGCGAAAGUGACGGUACCUGCAGAAGAAGCGCCGGCUAACUACGUGCCAGCAGCCGCGGUAAUACGUAGGGCGCAAGCGUUGUCCGGAAUUAUUGGGCGUAAAGAGCUCGUAGGCGGCUUGUCACGUCGGGUGUGAAAGCCCGGGGCUUAACCCCGGGUCUGCAUUCGAUACGGGCUAGCUAGAGUGUGGUAGGGGAGAUCGGAAUUCCUGGUGUAGCGGUGAAAUGCGCAGAUAUCAGGAGGAACACCGGUGGCGAAGGCGGAUCUCUGGGCCAUUACUGAC
RNAcentral lists this ribosomal RNA (709 nucleotides) under Streptomyces sp. Its description in RNAcentral is "bacterial SSU rRNA". It matches the Rfam family "Bacterial small subunit ribosomal RNA", at positions 18 to 744 of the family's 1533-position model. The record is from RNAcentral. Lineage: Bacteria; Bacillati; Actinomycetota; Actinomycetes; Kitasatosporales; Streptomycetaceae.